UCCCCAUUUCCCUGUGGUUCCAGGAACACCUUUCUCCCCUGCUUGUAAUUAUAGGGAUUUUGCUCAUCCUUAGAGUUGAAUUUAUCUCAGUGCCAUGCAGCUCUUGAGCUCUCUGGAGUUAAUUAGUGGCACCAUGGAAGCUGAAUCAUGAAGUGCAUCAUUAAGAGCGGAGCACAGGUUAGGAAAAAAGUCAGGCCAGCAGCGUUUCAGGCACCUCCUUUUUCCUGAGGUUCCACAGGCUGUUUCCCCAGUUUCACUUUUUAAUGGCACUUUGUAAUGACUGGUGUCUCAGCCACAGGGACUGGAUGCAGUUGCCAAGAAAAACUGGCAAAACAGGAGGUGGAAGAGGUCCAUUAAUUGGCUCCAAGUACCAGUUUCUCUGGAGGGGCUUUUCUUACCGGAGAGAAACUGUUCAGCACUGCAGGAGCAGCUCAUACCUGCAGAGCAAAUGGCUUUCCUGAGUCUGAAGACAUCUACAGACCACGGAAGAUUACAAGUUGUGUUGAUAAAUGUAAUAGUACUGAUGUGAUAAACUUCUGGAAAGCCUGAGGAUCCUGGUCUGAUCUCGUGGCUGACCCUGCUUUGAGGAGCAGGUUGGAGUAGGUGACCUCCAACCUGGAACACCUCGUGGUCCUGUGCAAGUAUUGCCUUUGGCUGUGAAUAACCUCUUACACAAGACUGGGGGGAUAGAAAAGCAAUUAGGCACCACUGCAAGGGAUAAGAAACUGCUGCAGUCUCCAGUUUUAAAUGGGAAUUCAUCAGUGAGCAGACAUGCUUCUAAUGGAGUCCUGGGGUUAUCACAGAUCUAUCUUGUUGGAGAGGUCAAAACCUGGGGAAGAGAGAACUGAAAUAAAAGAUCACCAGUGCAGAACGAUUCAGAUCCCAUUAGUAACCUGGAUGAAAACAAGCAACCUGCUUUAAUAGGAUCCAUGUAGAGCUGGGCCAUGUCCUGGGAACUGCUGACAAGGAAAAAGAUGUGUGGAGGUGUGGGGACCAUCAGCCAAGCACAGACCCCUGUGUGGGAGUGUGACAGUGAAGGGAAAUGUCAGAUUUAAGUGUACAAAAAGAGGAAUAUUUGAGUCAGGGAGGAAGGUGUGCUCCUCUUGCAAUUUCUAGUUGUGACUUUGGUAGUUCAAGGAAGAUGUUGUCAUCAACAAUUGGAGAGAAUUGAGAGAAAGGGCUUGUUAAAUGAUUGGAAAGCAAAUCCACCCACUGGAGACAGUUUGCAUUGUCUGUCAAAGAGGAAGGUGAUGGGGAGGUUUGAUCACUCUGAUGGACAGGAACAUGAAUACAAUAAAAAGGCUGACUUCAGUCCAGCAAACAAACACAAUAAAACCCAGUGGAGAGAUACUGAAAGUAGAGGAACUCAGACUGGACACAAACCACAUUUCAGCAGUGAGAGCAAUUAACCACUCACAACAGCACACUGAGAAAUAUGAAGCUUUCUGUUUCAUUGGAAAUUUUUACAUGUUUUUCUUUUCCUAAAAUAUCUGCUCUAGUUCUAGAAGGAAUCAGUUCUGGGAAGUCUUAUGGCUUGGGUUAUCCAGGAGGUCAGAAGGGAAAAAUCACAGUGGUCUUGUCUGGUUUUGUCAUCGAUUAGUCCAAGAACCUCUGACACGGUAUGUGCUCCCAGCUCAGCUGCCUGUGUGUCACAGUGUAAUGCAAGGAAGGGCUUCUCAAAAAUAGGCUGAUCUAGGAGUCAAUUAGGAGUUUUAUUUAUUUCUUACCAGCUUAGAUGAGGAUUUCAGGAAAAAACACGAACUAGGGACUGAAUUUUCUGAAAAACUUAUUAAAGCAUAGCAGUUACAGAUUAAUUCACUCAGCUCCUUAUUGAUUCCUUCCCCUGCUUGGAGACCAGAGGCACAUCCACGCAGACAAGUGGCUCCACAGGCUCCUGUCAUGGCUGUGUCUCCUGGGAUGAGGACAUCAUUUAGGGGAUAUCUCUGGACUGUUUGUACAGCCACUUAACUCAGUUUAGAAACAUAUGGAGCACAAAGAGCAAAUGCUGAUCUCUCUGUGCCUGGAGUAAAGCUUGGGACGUGCUGGGAUGCUCAGAGACAGAAUUUGGGAGUUAAUCUGCACUGAAAGGGGACUGAAAAGAGCAAAGUCAGAUCUGCCCCAGCGUAAGCUGGCACUGUUCCAUGGGAGUUGAUGGUCUACCAGCUUUUCUGAGGGCAGCUCGUUGCCUCCCAUCAUCGCUGGGAGACCAGAAACUCGGGCUGGUGCCUUGUGCACUGAAAUAAAGGCUGAAGGGGAGGUGGCAGAACUGGACCUUGUGCCUAUUGUGAGACCUUCUCAUCCUGGAGUUGGCCUCUUGUAUUUCUCACACCAGAAGUUUGCUUCCAACCCAGAUCCAGAAAGAAGCACUGGAGCUGAGCAUCCAAACCCAUCCAUUGUCCUUGCCUCCAUGAGCAGCAGCAGGAUGACAGGCAGCAGCCAGGUGAGGAAAGACUCCCGAGCCUCGUGGCACGUGGCUCAGCCUGACCCCUGCUCUGGAGCAGCCGGGGACGUCGGGGAGAGAUUAGCAGUUAUACAGAAAAUUUGAAACAUCUGGAAACUGAAGACUUCUUUGCAUGCAGCAUUUCCAGUCUGAGUCCCAAGAAUCCUGAAUCCCAAGAGAACCUGUGCUGGAUCCCAGUGGUGGAUGAGGGCUGGUUCAGGAUUCUGCAGAGCGUGGUUGAGUGUGGGGAUGUGUCUCUGGACUUCAAUAGGCCAGUCCUGGACAGGAGUCCUAGGCUUGAAAGCAACUCCACAAUGUCUCACGGGUCUACAUGGAAGCGGAUCAAAGGUCCAGUGAGCAAAGUGUGUUCCUGACAUCUGUAAAUAAGGCACAAACAACUCAUGCAAGCUGGAAAGCCUUUCCCAUUAUUUCCCAAACACAGAAAUAUGCGUCUGCAAUGUGGCGCUUUUCAGAACAGCUUCCACUCAGAUGGUGGAGAAUCCAUCACAGCCCGGGGCUGCUGUGGCUCAGUGCUGUAAACUUUGAAGUGCUGUGUGGAUCCGCUGGAUUUUGACAGCACUCCCUGGGAAGUGCCAGCAGCUUUGCUCUGCCCUCCCUCCUGAUGGUGGGAUGUGCCAGGGACCUUCACCAUGGUUUCAAACCAGGUCCUGAACUGAGCACAGCGUCCUGCCCACCACAUUUAGAUGCAGUAACUGAUGCAAAGAGAGAGGGAAACAUAUUGAUGUUGUGGGAUGCACUUGAUUAAUCAAUUGGUCAAGGUGGCAGCAGAGAAGCUUUGUUGCCCCUUAUAAUGUUGUUCCUUCCCCUUCCUUGUGUCACAACAAGGACGUCGUUGUGUUUUGCUGAGUCCUUCCUUGCUUGGGGCCAGUCAUUUAUCAAAAGAGAUUUCCAUCUUGGCCUAAUAAUUCAUCGGUUAUUGCAGCCCUCACUGCUCCGAGGGCCCAUUUGUUUCUUCUUAUCACAGUCUAAUUAUUUGGUGAAGGAAAAUUUCUGACUGUCUUGGGGCCAGUGGCCGAGAGCUCAGGAGAACCUGGCUCCCAGGUGGGGAAGUGCUUGUGACCGUGGGAGAGGGGCUUCCAGGGGGUCAGACCCAUCUGUGGGACUGCUCCUGGGGCAGGGGGAUGCUGUAGGAGUCCAGUGGGUUCGACUUGAAACACAAAUAUCUUUUUUUUUUUUUGGCUUAACCUUCCCUUUGUGCAUUUUUCACAGGCAAAUGCUCCCACAUGUGUCACACCCACCCAUCUCCCACCACCCACACACACACUCUCUCACACACAGGCUCUCUCACACUCUCACACAUACUAAUAAAAAAUCCUGUAAAUUGAGGGGGUUUUUCUUU
Molecule: long non-coding RNA, 3800 nt
Organism: Pseudopipra pipra
Lineage: Eukaryota; Metazoa; Chordata; Aves; Passeriformes; Pipridae
Exons: 11
Source: RefSeq, a predicted model, not a curated record